CUGAGUCCAAUUUCCACAUUGCCACUUGUCAUAUGACAUUGACACCACAAUGUCACUCAAGUGCUAUCCCUAUUUUUCAAAGGUUGUAUUAUAUGCUAACACAUUUAAUCACGUUAUUGCUUCAUUAUUAAUUAAUACAAGCUAGUAAUUACACCUCUUUUUAUAAGCUAGUAUGUCUCACAUUUUAUGGAUGGUAACAACUAUUUAAUUGAAGUAUACAGGUAUGAGUUUUUUACAUUUAAAAAUAUUCAAAAAAAUAAUACUCAUGUUUGUUUUAAACAAAUGCAAAAAAUUGUUGAAAUUCUCAAGUUUAUCUAUGCAUUACCUUUCUAAAUUACUUUCAAUUUAUGAAUAAGUAUAAUCACGUAUUUGCUUCAUCAUUAAUACAAUUAACUUUUUCAUUGGUCAAAACUAUAAUUUAUUUGUAAACGAAAAAAAUGCACUAAUGUUUCAUGGACACCCCAUUUGGUCCAUCCAUCCAUUGAGUAGCCACUUUAUCUCUAUCUAUCUAUCUCUUUCAUCUUACCUGCCGCUCUUCUUCACCUUCUCCCGCCCCCACCCCCACCCCCAAUGGCCUCCUCCUUAUCUCUGCUAUCUUCAACGCCAAACCCACUAUCAUUGUCACUUACUUUAUUUCUCUAAUCUAAGAUCUUUCUCUCCAUUGGCAACCGUGUUGGUGGCUGCGAGUUUCACUUCGUCGACUUUGAUGCAUCUCUUCCAACGACCUUGAGCUCAGAUUCAUAUUGUCUAUGAUGACGACCAUAUCAACGUUUUCAAGGUAGCCGACCAAAUCCAUGUUAUUGACGUCGACAUGAGAGCGGAUGGAUGGGGUCCGAGAGUAACAAAGAAGGCGAAUGAGAGAGGGAAGUCUAGGCGGCCGAGACGAGAAGGUAGAAGUGGAGGGGUAGGGAAUGAGAGAAACAUGGAAGAUAUAUAUAUAUAUAUAUAUAUAUAUAUAUAUAUAUAUAUAUAUAUAUAUAUAUAUAUAUAGAGAUAUUUCACAAGCAUUUUGUUUUUGGGCUAAAUUGUAUAUUUAAUCCCUUAAUUUAUUUUGUUGUUUUUAUUUUAAUCCCCUAAAUAAUUAACGCCAUUUUGAUCCUUUGACUUAUACUAUGUCAAAAUAAAUAGGAGAGAGAAGGUCAAGAUUUUUGGGUUUUGGUGCAAUGAAAGAAUAAAUAGGGGUCGUGGUGAGUACUCUGAAAAUAAAUGGAUGGAGCUGGACUGGAAUUAAGAUGGAUACCAUUCAUUUGGUAUUUAUAAGGUGAUUGUUUUUAGGGUCUUGUUAACAAGUGUUCUAAGGAUAUUUAUUAAGAAUUCACAAAAUAAAAAUAAUUGAUAACUUUUAUAUAGAAAAUGUUACUUUUUGAUUUUUCAAUGUAUUGAAUAUACAAAUUUCAAGAUAAAGUUUCCAUUUAAAACUUCUUAUCAAGUGCCCCUAGGACACUUGUUAACAUUUCCCUUAUUUUUAAGCCCUCAAAUUGUUCAAACUCUGAAAACUCUGAUGUAAGUUCCUUUUGAUCUUCAACUAUAUGAGAAAGGGCUAUGGCUACGGUAGGCGACCUUAAUGGGUCUCCUACUAUAAGAGAC
RNAcentral lists this long non-coding RNA (1587 nucleotides) under Medicago truncatula (barrel medic). RNAcentral describes it as "long non-coding RNA (MTRU_LNC001927)". Lineage: Eukaryota; Viridiplantae; Streptophyta; Magnoliopsida; Fabales; Fabaceae. The record is from RNAcentral.